CCUACGGGAGGCUGCAGUGGGGAAUAUUGCACAAUGGGGGAAACACUGAUGCAGCGACGCCGCGUGAGUGAAGAAGUAAUUCGUUACGUAACGCUCUAUCAGCAGGGAAGAAAAUGACGGUACCUGAGUAAGAAGCCCCGUCUAACUACUUGCCAGCAGCCGCGGUAAUACGUAGGGGGCAAGCGUUAUCCGGAUUUACUGGGUGUAAAGGGAGCGUAGACGGUGCGCCAAGUCUGGAGUGAAAUGCCGCCGCGUAACUGCGGAACUGCUUUAGAAACUGGCGAACUAGAGUGCGGGCGGGGUAAGCGGAAUGCCUAGUGUAGCGGGGAAAUGCGUAGAUAUUAGGAGGAACACAGGUUGCGAAGGCGGCUUACUGGACCGUAACUGACGUUGAGGCUCGAAAGCGUGGGGAGCAAACAGGAUUAGAUACCCUUGUAGUC
Molecule: ribosomal RNA, 440 nt
Filed under: uncultured bacterium
Lineage: Bacteria
Description: partial 16S ribosomal RNA
Rfam family: Bacterial small subunit ribosomal RNA
Source: RNAcentral